RNAcentral lists this transfer RNA (86 nucleotides) under Nephroselmis astigmatica. RNAcentral describes it as "tRNA-Ser". It matches the Rfam family "tRNA". Rfam says of the family: Transfer RNA (tRNA) molecules are approximately 80 nucleotides in length. Their secondary structure includes four short double-helical elements and three loops (D, anti-codon, and T loops). Further hydrogen bonds mediate the characteristic L-shaped molecular structure. tRNAs have two regions of fundamental functional importance: the anti-codon, which is responsible for specific mRNA codon recognition, and the 3' end, to which the tRNAs corresponding amino acid is attached (by aminoacyl-tRNA synthetases). tRNAs cope with the degeneracy of the genetic code in two manners: having more than one tRNA (with a specific anti-codon) for a particular amino acid; and 'wobble' base-pairing, i.e. permitting non-standard base-pairing at the 3rd anti-codon position. The record is from RNAcentral. Lineage: Eukaryota; Viridiplantae; Chlorophyta; Nephroselmidophyceae; Nephroselmidales; Nephroselmidaceae.
GGAGAGGUGACCGAGUGGUUGAAGGUGCAGACCUGGAACGUCUGUGAGGGUUUUGCUCUCCGAGGGUUCGAAUCCCUCUCUCUCCG